Molecule: ribosomal RNA, 449 nt
Filed under: uncultured bacterium
Lineage: Bacteria
Description: bacterial SSU rRNA
Rfam family: Bacterial small subunit ribosomal RNA
Source: RNAcentral
UGAGGAAUAUUGCACAAUGGGCGCAAGCCUGAUGCAGCGACGCCGCGUGGGUGAUGAAGGUCUUCGGAUCGUAAAGCCCUUUUUCUGCGUGACGAGACAGGACGGUAGCGCAGGAAUAAGUCUCGGCUAACUACGUGCCAGCAGCCGCGGUAAAACGUAGGAGACGAACGUUAUCCGGAGUUACUGGGCGUAAAGGGCGUGUAGGCGGUUUGUUAAGUCUGGCGUGAAAGCUCUCGGCUAAACCGGGAGAGGUCGUUGGAUACUGGCGAACUAGAGGAUGGUAGAGGCGUGUGGAAUUCCGGGUGUAGUGGUGAAAUGCGUAGAGAUCCGGAGGAACACCAGUGGCGAAGGCGACACGCUGGGCCAUACCUGACGCUAAAGCGCGACAGCAUGGGGAGCAAACGGGAUUAGAUACCCACGUAGUCCCUGAGCGGGCUGGCAAGGCGCAU